GGAGCUGACCGGUACUAAUAGGCCGAGGGCUUG
This 33-nucleotide ribosomal RNA is filed under the name Acidipropionibacterium acidipropionici. RNAcentral describes it as "partial 23S ribosomal RNA". Lineage: Bacteria; Bacillati; Actinomycetota; Actinomycetes; Propionibacteriales; Propionibacteriaceae. The record is from RNAcentral. RNAcentral also lists the same sequence under 2 other names.